This is a long non-coding RNA of Xiphophorus hellerii (green swordtail), 1036 nucleotides long. RefSeq lists it as uncharacterized. The record is from RefSeq and is a predicted model, not a curated record. Lineage: Eukaryota; Metazoa; Chordata; Actinopteri; Cyprinodontiformes; Poeciliidae. The transcript has 4 exons.
GGAUGGAUGGAUGGAUGGAUGGAUAGAUGGAUCAUCACGUUGUACAAAGAAGUGAAAGGUACACAGCUGUUUCCCCAGAAUGCUGAUAGCUGGCGAAGCGGGAGAACAGAACGGUCUCUGCGGGGAUCACAUCAUGGAAAGUAUGAAGGAGAGCAGCAACACAAAAAGAGACUUUAUUUUCUUCCUUCCAGAGAGAGAGAGAGAGAGAGAGAGAGAGAAUGAUUUUCCGUUUUCACAUCACACUGAGUUAUACGUUGUUCCCCCUAAAGCAAUGACACCUCUUACAGUUGACCCAUUGUGUCGAAACGUGUUCGAACCAAAGUGGCUUUGGACGAACGAGCGCGUUCCAGACUGAACGGCAUCGCAGUGUGGGUGUUCGGCACGCUGAAGACUUUUAGGAAUUGGCUGUCAUGAGGUGCGGUGUGAGGCGGUGAGGCAGACGCUGAGGACCCAGAUAAACUGAAGUCUUUCAUAAUGAAAGCAGGAUAUUUGGAACAUGGACGGAGAGAAUCACAGAGAAACCAUUUCAAACUCUAAAAUCUAAACUCGUCUUUUGAUGACGCGGCAUCCGUUGUUUGAGGCUCCAGUGAUUUACUUAAGGGAACACUGGUCAUUAUUAUUAUGAUGAUGAUGAUGAACCUUCUCUGUGGUUUCAAAUGACUUUUCUGGAUCAAUCUCAUGAUUUGCAAGUCACAAGGUAGCCUCUAACAAUUACGCCCAUGGCGGCGCACACUGUCAUGAGUUUCUUUAAGCAGGUUGUCAAGCUCAGGCAAUGAAACAAACCUUUUCCUGCCUGCACAUGUGAAUAAAUCUCAAGCACUUAAGUGGAAUUGUCUUUUUUUCUGAAAAGGUUCAGUUGCUUUCUACGUAAGCCUGUCACAACAACAAAUUUUACCGGACGAUAAAUUGUCCCAGAAGUUAUUGCGAUAGACGAGGAUGUUGUUGUUUCGAGAUCAAGCGAUACAACUGUAAUGGCAAAAACGUUUUCUCAAAGAUGAACAAACUUUCAAUUCUAAUGAGCAUCUAACACCGGAAG